CUACCCGUGCCAGCAUUUUGAGGAUGCCGCAGGGAGAUAUCGUGAUCCCGCCGCCCGGAGGUGGAAGAAGGUGUUUGAGUGAUAAAGCACUUUUGGUUACGAGUAAAUUCAUAAACGUAAUAAGUUAGUGUUUUGACGUUACCAACAGAAUAAGCACCUUAUAACUCUGUGCCAGCAGCCGUGGUAAUACAGAGGGCGCAAGUAUUAAUCAGAAUUGGUAGGCGUAAAGCAGGUCGUAUGUGUUUUUGUUAAGUUGUGAUGUGAAAUCACCCGGGCUCAACCUGGGAACUGCAUCCAAAACUGGGGAUCUAGAGUAGCGGCAGAGGGAGACUGGUUUAAUUUCGUGUGUAGCGGUGAAAUGCGUAUAUAUAGGAAGGAACACCAGAUGGCGAGGGGGUCCAUCUGUGGGCUCAUACUGACAGUGAGGUGCGAAAGCGUGGGGAGCAAACAGGAUUAGAUACCUUGGUAGUCCACGCCGUAAACGAUGUCAACUAGCCGUUGGAAUCCUUGAGAUUUUAUUGGCGCAGCUAACGCAUUAAGUUGACCGCCUGGGGAGUACGGCCGCAAGGUUAAAACUCAAAUGAAUUGACGGGGGCCCCCACAAGCGGUGGAGCAUGUGGUUUAAUUCUAAACAACGCGAAAAACCUUACCACGCCUUGACAUGCAAACAACUUUCCACAGAUGGAUUGGUGCCUUCUGGAACUCUGACACAGGGGCGUGCAUGGCUGUCCUCAGCUCCUGUCCUGAAAAGUUGGGUUAAAUCCCGUAACCAGCGCAACCCUUGUCCCUAUUUACCAACACGUUAUGGUGGGCACUCUAAGGAGACUGCCGGUGACAAACCGGAGGAAGGUGGGGAUGACGUCAAGUCAUCAUGGCCCUUACGGCCUGGGCUACACACGUGCUACAAUGGUCGGUACAGAGGGUUGCCAAACUGCGAGGUGGAGCUAAUCUCACAAAACCGAUCGUAGUUCCGGAUUCGGGAGUCUGCAACUCGACCCGCGUGA
This 1004-nucleotide ribosomal RNA is filed under the name Pseudomonas alkylphenolica. Its description in RNAcentral is "bacterial SSU rRNA". It matches the Rfam family "Bacterial small subunit ribosomal RNA", at positions 339 to 1323 of the family's 1533-position model. The record is from RNAcentral. Lineage: Bacteria; Pseudomonadati; Pseudomonadota; Gammaproteobacteria; Pseudomonadales; Pseudomonadaceae.